UCGACGACAUUGGUAGGCAAACAAAGCGGCGAGGUGUGCGCUGAACCAGGUUCACCGCGUUACCUGCAUACCUUCAGAAACAGUACAAGAACCAAUUUACUAACACAAUGGUGACUACGUGUUGCGUAUUGGGAUGUGCUACUCGCGCGAAGACUGGAAGUGGCAUCGGUUUCUUUCGAUUCCCGAAGCACGAUCCUGAACGACGCCAACAGUGGAUUCGCGCUGUUCGAAGGCGAAACUGGGAACCGACUGAGAACGACCGGGUUUGCGGCGAGCACUUCUUGCAGGGACAACCUUGUCACACGCACAAGAACCAUCCAGACUGGAUUCCCUCCGUGUUUUCUUUCACCCAACGGAACCGAGAGCUUGAAGGUCGGAAGCUCAAGCGGUUUGAGAGGAGUCUGAAACGGCUGCGGCGUUUGGUUGUACGCACCACAAGCUCUCCUGUGCCCAACAGCGUACCAUCAAACAGCACCAGCAACUCAGAAUUUCCUUCAAAGCCUUCCAGUAUGCUUCCUGCCCAGGGCUACACUGUACAAGGCCACUUUCCAACUUCUCCUAUUCCUGGUAUGCCUACUCAAGCGUUCAUGGUCAACAGCGAUGGAAGUGUUGGAAGCACCUACACCACUACGGUUAAAGGCCCCACUUUCUUGCUGUGCAGUGGCGCCGGAAAUCCGAGGCUCGUGAGUCAGGAGUCUGCAACCAACCAGGUUGUGGUUCUCCUCGGCCCGGGAGUGUCGCCAGCAGCCGUCGCACCAACGACAACUGUAAUGUCCAACAAUACUCCCAUUGUGCACCAUGUCGUGGGUGGCACACAGCUUGGGUCUUCAGAAUUGCAGAGGAUUGCACCAGCCUUGGAAGGCAGUGAGCAAGAAAGGGCAGCACCACAGAUUCGUGUCGCCAAUGUCUGGAGCACAGCCUCAGACAUGACCUUGUCUGCAAGCGAGGAAGAGGAUGAGCGAGCAGUCGUGGGAGAAGGCAACACCGAUGAGCAAAUUUUGCCAACAACAGAAGGGAAUGCAGAGUGCCUGCCAGACCUACUGGACACCGACCUGGAGAUGGCAGUGAGCGAAGAUGACAAUAUGGAAGAUGCAAUCUCAAAGGGUACUGCGCGAACUCGUCAACUAGAAUGUGCCACAAUGCCUUGGAACUCAUCAGAACAGAGGUGCAGCAGGGCCGAGCCACCGAUGCCAGGCAGGGAGCAGCUAGAGACGGCAGGUGCAUUGGCCGAGACUUCGCCACGCCCACGGAUUGUGGAUGUCUGGAGCGCUGCCUCCGACUCUGGCCUGACUGCAAGUGAAGGGGACGAGGACACCACAGGCCCUGCGGUGCAUGGUUCUUCAACGUGCAGCCUUGAUGAGCCAGACUACAUCCUGCCUUGCACCGAGAUGCCAAACUAAGGUGCAUUAAGACAUCCCCAUUCAAGUCGGCAACUACCUGGUCACUGCCUUCAUGGACACUGGCACCGAUUACUCUGUUACGAGUGCCGAACAGAGAAAAGUCACGAUGCUAUGGCACCGACCAAGCCAUCGGACAGCAGGUGGUCAUCCCUUGACGCUGAUUGGGAGAUGCAUGGCCAGGCUCCAAAUGUGUCAGUCAACGGCUACCAGCAAGGCAGUGAAUACAGCAGAGGACAUGGAGCCGAGCACAUCGUGCCAACGGCUUCAGUAAGAGAACAAACAACUUCAAGAAGUGGCCAGACUCGUAGCCAUUGCAAGAGCAGCAUUUAAUUGGCUGAUGGAGCAAGCGAAUACCAAUUGUGCCAGGAGCACAGACCUGUAUAUAUUGUACAUCAUGUAUAGUUUUCAUCAUUUUAACCUAAUAAAAUGCUUUCCGUUUUGACCA
RNA transcript from Dermacentor albipictus, 1845 nucleotides. RefSeq lists it as uncharacterized. The record is from RefSeq and is a predicted model, not a curated record. Lineage: Eukaryota; Metazoa; Arthropoda; Arachnida; Ixodida; Ixodidae.